UCCUGGCUCAGGACGAACGCUGGCGGCGUGCUUAACACAUGCAAGUCGAGCGGUAAGGCCCUUCGGGGUACACGAGCGGCGAACGGGUGAGUAACACGUGGGUGAUCUGCCUUGCACUCUGGGAUAAGCCUGGGAAACUGGGUCUAAUACCGGAUAUGACCACGGAUCGCAUGGUUUGUGGUGGAAAGAUUUAUCGGUGCGAGAUGGGCCCGCGGCCUAUCAGCUUGUUGGUGGGGUAAUGGCCUACCAAGGCGACGACGGGUAGCCGACCUGAGAGGGUGACCGGCCACACUGGGACUGAGACACGGCCCAGACUCCUACGGGAGGCAGCAGUGGGGAAUAUUGCACAAUGGGCGGAAGCCUGAUGCAGCGACGCCGCGUGAGGGAUGACGGCCUUCGGGUUGUAAACCUCUUUCGACUCCGACGAAGCGUAAGUGACGGUAGGAGUAGAAGAAGCACCGGCCAACUACGUGCCAGCAGCCGCG
RNAcentral lists this ribosomal RNA (485 nucleotides) under Nocardia sp. 12-265. Its description in RNAcentral is "bacterial SSU rRNA". It matches the Rfam family "Bacterial small subunit ribosomal RNA", at positions 17 to 519 of the family's 1533-position model. Lineage: Bacteria; Bacillati; Actinomycetota; Actinomycetes; Mycobacteriales; Nocardiaceae. The record is from RNAcentral.